UGAGGAAGAAUAUCACAGGGAUAUUAAUAACAAUUUCACAGGCUGGGUGAACACAGCCGGCGAUGCUGAAAUUAUCAUCAUCCUCUCCCCCUCUUCCCCUCCUGGCUCUCAGUCCCCGCCUCACGGGUUAUGUAGCGGAUUAUGGCAAGAAGACAAACUGCAGUUUCCUGCACAGAACAGCACAAACAAUGAUCCAAGCUCAGUUACAACACAAUAUUGGUCAUCAUUUGACCAUGGACUUCAUAUCAACCCUUAGAAAUGUUCCUAAAACAGGUCAGCAAAACACCAAGAAGCAAUAUCCUGAAUGAUAGGAAAAUAUCCUUCCUUGUGCAAAUUGUUUCCACUUAAAUUAAUUUUUUUCAACAAAUGUUAAUUAUAUUUUUACUUUCUAAAACUUUUUAAUAAAAU
This 408-nucleotide long non-coding RNA is filed under the name Pan troglodytes (chimpanzee). RNAcentral's name for it is "long non-coding RNA NONPTRT003940". The record is from RNAcentral. Lineage: Eukaryota; Metazoa; Chordata; Mammalia; Primates; Hominidae.